AUUGAACGCUGGCGGCAGGCCUAACACAUGCAAGUCGAACGAGUGGCGGACGGGUGAGUAAUGUCUGGGAAACUGGCUUAUGGAGGGGGAUAACUACUGGAAACUGUAGCUAAUACCGCAUACCAUCGGAUGAGCCCAGAUGGGAUUAGCUAGUAGGUGGGGUAACGGCGCACCUAGGCGACGAUCCCUAGCUGGUCUGAGAGGAUGACCAGCCACACUGGAACUGAGACACGGCCCAGACUCCUACGGGAGGCAGCAGUGGGGAAUAUUGCACAAUGGGUGCAAGCCUGACGCAGCCAUGCCGCGUGAAUGAAGAAGGCCUUCGGGUUGUAAAGUACUUUCAGCGAGGAGGCGUUAACUACAGAAGAAGCACCGGCUAACUCCGUGCCAGCAGCCGCGGUAAUAC
Molecule: ribosomal RNA, 406 nt
Filed under: uncultured bacterium
Lineage: Bacteria
Description: partial 16S ribosomal RNA
Rfam family: Bacterial small subunit ribosomal RNA
Source: RNAcentral